ACUUUGUAGACUAGGCUGGCCUUGACAUUUUUUUUUUAAAGAUUUAUUAUUAUAUCUAAGUACACUGUAGCUGUCCUCAGACACACCAGAAGAGGGCGUCAGAUCCCAUUACAGAUGAUUGUGAUCCACCAUGUGGUUGCUGGGAUUUGAACUCAGGACCUUUAGAAGAGCAGUCAGUGCUCUUAACCACUGAGCCAUCUCUCCAGCCCGUCAUUUUUUUUUUUAAUGUGUAAGUCUUGUUUUACAUCCGGGUAUGUGUGUGUACCACAUGAGUGCAGUUCCCAGGGAAACCAAAAGAGGGCGUCAGAUCCUCUGAAACUAUUAACCACCAUAUGGGUGCUGAGAACUGAACCAAGGUCCUCUAUAAGUGAGCAACAAGUACUUUUGAUCACUGGAUCAUCUCUCCAGCCCCCAUUAUUCAAUAUAUAAAUAAUAAAGAAGUACAGUGUCAGAUGUGGCACAGUAAAUAUACUGCUGGCCUAGAAUGUAAAGUCCUGGGUUUGAUUCCUAACACUUGUGAGGUGGAGAUAGGAGAAUUAAGUUCAGAAUCAUCUGCAGCUACAUACUAAGUCCAAACCUGAGGCUGGAGAGAUGGCUCAACAAUUAAGCAGGGGAGCCAUUGUCCUCUUCCAGCCUCUGUGGGCACUGCACACGUGUGCACAGACAUCAUACAUGCAGGCAUACACAUAAAAUACAUUUUUUUUUAAGUCUAAAGCCAACC
This 721-nucleotide long non-coding RNA is filed under the name Mus musculus (house mouse). RNAcentral's name for it is "long non-coding RNA chr11:78042372-78043093". The record is from RNAcentral. Lineage: Eukaryota; Metazoa; Chordata; Mammalia; Rodentia; Muridae.